GGGCGUGUAACUCAGUGGUAGAGUGCUCGCUUCGCAUUAUCCUAAUGCUAAUUUGCGAGAAGUCCAGGGUUCAACUCCCUGCUCGUCCA
This 89-nucleotide transfer RNA is filed under the name Hypoxylon trugodes. RNAcentral describes it as "tRNA-Ala". It matches the Rfam family "tRNA". From Rfam's summary of the family: Transfer RNA (tRNA) molecules are approximately 80 nucleotides in length. Their secondary structure includes four short double-helical elements and three loops (D, anti-codon, and T loops). Lineage: Eukaryota; Fungi; Ascomycota; Sordariomycetes; Xylariales; Hypoxylaceae. The record is from RNAcentral.